Long non-coding RNA from Callorhinus ursinus (northern fur seal), 1220 nucleotides. RefSeq lists it as uncharacterized. Lineage: Eukaryota; Metazoa; Chordata; Mammalia; Carnivora; Otariidae. The record is from RefSeq and is a predicted model, not a curated record.
UCCGAGGCCGGACGGUAGAGGCCUCCCUUCUGAGGAGGCGGCGUGGCCGCAAGCUGCUAGGGUUGCGCUCUCGGACCCGUGCGUCCUUCCCGACGAGGUCCCUGCGCGGCCCGACCCAGUGGCACGGAUGUUUCCAUGCAGGUGAUUUUGACAGCAAUCAUCAUACCAAGCUAUUAUGAAGUGUGAUGUCAGUGCGUUCUGGAGGACGGAUAAUAUAUAAGCCAGUUCUUGACACGCUAUCUUACAAGGAAACAUCUGAGACCAUCAGCAUAGAAGUAACUAAAAAAUAAAUAUGUGUCUGAGCCCCAGCAAGAUUAUGUGACUUCAUAAAGAUAGUAUGGCUGGCUCAAUGGAAGAGCCAAGGGGUUGUUUGAAGAGGAUUUAUGCAUCCCACAGACACCUGACAAGCUGAUUCUAAGGGCCCUUGGACAGACUUACCCUGUUCACCCAUGCCUCAGAUGUCCUUCCUGCCUUGGGACAUAUACCUGUCUUCGUGACCCACUGUUUUUAUCAACAAGAUAACUACAAAUAAGGUUCCCCAAGUGUACUCUCCCAGUGAACUUCAUAGCUGGCUAAUUCAGAAGAUAGCCCUGGCUGUCUGACCCUCUUAAGCUCCUGCCAUCAAGAAGUAGGGUCCAUUUCCUUGUUCCCGGGCUGGCCAUGCGACUUGCUUUUUUACCAGUACAGUGAAGCGGAAGUGAUAGUGUACCAGUUCCGAAGGCCUUGUGUACUUCUGCCCUGUCUCACUCGAAAUCCCGCCUGGCUACCAGGAGGACAAGCCCAUGUUCACUCCCUGGGUCAGCUGUCUCCAAUCCUGAGGUCAUCACUCAUCAAGAGGGGAUAAUCCCAAGGACAGCAGGACCUGCUUCAUCACUUGGAUUUAGGAGUGAGAAACCCAUCAGGCAACUAAACAGUAACAAUGACCCACCAUUAAACACACUGAGAGAAGUGCAUGAUGAGGAGAUUGUACGAGAAGAAUCCCGGAGCUCUUGCUGACAACGCCUAUGGAGACGCUGACCACUGUGAGCUCUGCCCAUUGAACUGCAGUAAAAAAUCUCCCCCUCCCCAGAGAUGCUUGGAUGCAGGCACAAUAUCAGUUCAGACAAUGGUCUGUGUGUGGACUUAGAGUGGAAAGAAUUUGGACUGUGGGGUAAACAGACCUGGGUCUGAACUGUUAUUCUGCCACUUCCGUGUAGUAUGUUUUAGCAGCAUUAAAAAAA